AAAUGGGGACGUCGGGAGCAUUCUCUGGACAGCAGGAGAUGCAUGUCGACAGGCUGGCCCUGCCUCUUCCCACCCCAGAGUGGUGCAGCGGUGUCCUGGACCCCUGGGGAGAGGUGACCCCCCCAGCAGGAAGCUGGGCCUGGUUUCUGUCCCUCUGCAGCCACAAGGCCUGGCUAGGAUGCUGGGAGCACCACACCCUGGAGACUCAGCUCACCAAGGACUCAGGGGCGGGGGCUCCCCUGGCACCUGGGAAGCUGGGCCCCCGGCCCCCUGGACUCCCACCCAGACACCAUCUCAACCCAGGCUGGGUUUCCUGUGUCCUCACCGCCCGCUUAUCAGCAAGAUGGGGAUGUGGAUGACAGGAGUGCUGGCCACGGAGGGCCUGGUGUGGGUGGCCGUCGGGACGAGGGUAGUGUGGGCGGCCACGGCAGUUGGUGCUACUGCUGGGAGGGGCCGAAGGUGAGGCCCUCCUGGGCUGUGGGUCCCUGUAAGCCACUGCCCCCGUGGGGUGUGCAGUCACCAAGCCGACCUGCUGCCGGGGUUCCGCCCCCUCCCUUUCCCUUCUGCUUCCCCGGCACCUGUGUCCCAAGCCUGAAGCCCUGUCCGUGUCAGAGGUGGCACCUCCCUGGGCACGGGCACUUGGACGCUGGUGCCUCCCCUGCUGCGGACCCCUUUGCUGUGGUCAGGGCCUCCUCCCUGCACUGGCCCCGCCUGUGACCGCAGGCCUGGCGGGGCCCUCAAUGGCCACAGAGGGCACAGGCCGGGGCCAGGAGGGCACCGUCUCCUGGGGCACAGAUAUGCUGGAGUGAGCUAUGGAAUUGUCCAUCAGCAGCGGCAAGCUUUGCUGAGCGCCAGCUGUAUGCAGAGCAAAGGCGGGCCAGCCGGGAAGGGCCAGUGAGGACCUGGAGUCCCCAGCAUCCCCAGGAGCCUGCACCCCUACGCGGGGGACGCCUGGGCAGCUCCUCCCUCCUCCACUCCCCGCCCUCUCCUCCCCUCCUUCCUGCAGUUCCCACAGCUGUUUGGGUGCCUCCCGUGGCGCCUGGUUGAGCUGCAGGGGGAGAUGUGUGUGGACACUGCAACCCUCCCGAAGCUGGGCCUGGAAGAAAUGACUUCCCCAGAACCUUAUCUGGGCCGGAGAGGGGCGUUGGCAGCGGGGGUCUUGCCGCCUUCCGGUCCUCUGCAUGCCAGGCACCACCUGGGGCCGGGCCAGGGCAGGCUGCCUGGACACCAUGGACCUGCCCAGCUGUAGGGGAGGUGUGUCCUGCAGCCCUACCCGAGGCCCAGGCCUGCGUGGCUGAGAGGACUGAGGACGGCUGACCCCCUUGGUGACUGCCUGGGCCCAGAGGGGAGUUGGGGGAGUGGUCAGCUGGGUGUGGCCAGCCCUGGGGGAAGGAUCCAGGGACUGUGUCCACUUAGGGAUAGGAGGCAGCUAGCAGAGCCCUCCCAGCUGACCAGGGGAGGCCCUGUGGGCACAGGAGGGGCCCCAGGUGUAGGUACAGGUGCAGGGCUGUGCGGCUCUGUGUCACCCAGGUGGAGCGUCUUGCCCCGUUUGAUGGCUGACAAAGUGCCCUUGAAUGCGUCAGACCCAGCGUGGUCCCAGGGUCCUGACCCUAACAUACCACCCCAAAUUACCCUCACCCCAGCCUACCCCUGCCCUAAAUUCACCCCAAGCCUCCACCCAAACCCCUUAGUCCCAACACCUUAACCCUAGACCCAACCCUACACCCCAAGCCCUAAUCCCUAACCGCUAGCCUCACCCUAACCUUCCUACCGGAUGCCACCUGGCAAACAUCCUCCUGGCCCCUAUCUGCCCCUCCCCCGGGGAUCCGGGAGGCAGUGGGGUCCCUGGGAGGCUGCUCCCUGCAGAACGCGAUGGACAGAUGCAUGGGCACCGGGCCCCAGCACCCUCUGGCUUCCUUCAUCCUCCCCAGGCACUUCCCCCGGGCCAGAGGGCAGCCUGGCAGCCCUGGACUCCGGGAGGGCCGAGUCUGGGGAGCUGGACGACGUCACAUUCCACUCUUGAUGAUGCCGCCCCAGUCCUACAAUCUGGACAGCAGGAGAAGCUGCCCAUUUCCUCCAUCUCCGGUAAUGAGAAGCAAAUGCUGAUCCUGGCCGUCUCCUGGCUCUUGGGUCCCUAGGUUCCUGCUGCCCCUGCCAGUUCCUGGAAGAUGCCAGCAGGAGGGAGGGCAGUGGAGCUGGACUUGCGCCCACAACAGGAUCUGGCCAUAAACGCAGUCAGGGCGAGGCUGCGGGGUGGGUGGCUGAGCCUCCUGGUGGACUAUCUCCCCUCCCACCCCCCGCCCUGGCCCGCAGCUGUUGGCUCUUCCUGGGAAGCCACAGCCUUUGUUUGUUCCUUGAAGGAGCUGGUGCGUUGCCUGCGAGCUCCUCUGCAGGCUUGGGGGUCGCACCUGCUGUCCACCCCCCUCGAAACCAGCUCCAUCCAGCAGCAGGCUGCAAGCCUGGAGAGGCCACCGGGGACCAGGCAGGGAAACUGAGGUCCCAAAAAGGCAGGGAACAGGUGCAGGGGGCCUGUCUGACCUGCGCUGGGACUGGGCCAGGUGAGUCUCCUCCAGGGCCCAGCCCCAUCUUGGACAGAGGAAGUUGAUAGUCAGGAAAGGCAGGAGUGGCCUCUUCUAACAAUUUCAGCUCUGAAGGGGCCAAGGGUGGCGAUGCUGACAGCAUUUCCUCCAGCUCCCACCUGCCUGCUCCGGGGAACUCCCUACCCAGGCAUUGAUAUUCACCUGGUGAUACUAAUAAUUGUCUCAGGUGAUAAAUUGUCUCAGCUGCUCUCCCACAUGGCCCACAGGUCCCUGGAGGUUCCCCGGAUCCUUUCAGGGAAGACCAUGGGCCCUAAACGAUCUUCAUAACAAAACUGAGAAGUGGCCUGGCUUCUUCACUGCGUGCCUGUGUGCUGGGAUCUAGCGUGGCCCGACUGGGCAGCUCCUUUCCUUCCCUGACGCUGCUCCAGGGGAAAGAAGGACCAGGGUCAAUCCGGGGUGCCCCAGGUGGAUCAGCGAAUGCCCCUGAAGCCAGGUGCCAGUUGCAUCCCCGUCAGAUGCCCCCACCCCAGUCUCCUGAGCCUCAUUAGUCACCCCUCAUUUUCCUCUGGGGACCCCAGGCCCCAGCUCCUGUCUGGUUAGAGGCUGAAGGGGUCUGAGCGACACCUACCCUAGGGGACCUCCGGAGGGGUCUUGGUGUCCUCUGACUUCUGUCCUCAGAAGGGAGCUCAGAAUGCAGCUGAGGCUUCCCCUGGGGCCCAGGGUGUCUGUGUCCGAGCCACAGCCAGAGUGUGCCCUGGAGAGUCGCUGGGAUGCACGGUGGGCUCUCGUCAUCCUGUCCCCACUCCAGGCUCAGGCUGGAGCCGUGAUGGCACCGCUGCACUCCAACCUGGGCAACAGAGUGAGACCCUGUCUCUAUAAAAUAAAAACAAAAAUAAAGAAGAG
This 3443-nucleotide long non-coding RNA is filed under the name Homo sapiens (human). Its description in RNAcentral is "long non-coding RNA NONHSAT158702.1". Lineage: Eukaryota; Metazoa; Chordata; Mammalia; Primates; Hominidae. The record is from RNAcentral.